Salvelinus fontinalis (brook trout) is the source of this 3161-nucleotide long non-coding RNA. RefSeq lists it as uncharacterized. The record is from RefSeq and is a predicted model, not a curated record. NCBI's taxonomy places the organism in Eukaryota, Metazoa, Chordata, Actinopteri, Salmoniformes, Salmonidae. The transcript has 2 exons.
UACUAGCAUGGUGGUGGAAAAUGGUGUUUCAUAAAGAAAGUAUGCAUAUUUUCCCAGUUUUUCCCUUCUUCUCGCCAUUACAUUGAGUAAAGGCAAUUAACUCCUUUGCAGCCUGAAUGGAGAAGGUUUUGUGUACGAAACGGUUCACGGAGGAUACCAGUGUAUAGCCGGCUGCAUGCAUUAGCUUUGUACGAAGUAAACCAGCAUGAAUGCAGUGGGGAAAAGUUCCCACAUCCCACUAAAAUUGUGUUCAAUUGAGACCCAACAUCAUGAAAUCUAGCUUAAGAAACCAAAGAUUUCAAGGAACCAAUGAACACUGAAUUCACAUACAUUUGAGAGUCUGUGAUACUUAAGGCAGUGUGAUUUGGCAGUGCUUCGGUUGUUUUGACAGAGUGACGCAGCACUUACCCCAAAGGCAGGGUUGACCGACCCCUGAUCGCUCAAUCCUAUCUCAACUUUCGGGUCCUGGGUAAGAUGCAUGCUGGUGCGUAGGCACAGAGACAGUGGUGGCUGGACGCUGAGGCUCACAGGGACCCCUCAAACUUCUCCACACGCUACACACUCACUGGGAAAACUCUGAGAAACACUGGACCUUAGGAAAGCAUGAAGAGUCCCGUCAUGUUGUCAAGGGAACCACAGUUGAAUCACUAGCAAAACGUUGUUGUAUAAUCCCUCCAAACUAUUUGUUGUUUUAGCCCCUGACCUUUUGUCAUGUGUCUAUUGUGAUGUUGUAAUGGGUAAUAUUUGAUAUAUAUGCACAUUAUAUACACCUCACGUGCCUCGUAAUAAGACUAUUCAAUGAAUAUGUUAAAAAGUCUGACUCCAUCAGAUGAUCUAGCAUUAUGCAAGAGACUGUAGUUCAGUUACAGUAAUAAGCCAUCAAGAAAUGUCUGAGAAUGGAAUUCUAAAUACAAGUUUAUUAAAUUAAUUUGUAAAUUGAAUGAUUACAUUUACAAGGAAUAAAGCUUAAGUUACAAAGCAUUAACAAGCAUUACUAAGCAUUAUUCUAAGCAUGACCAGUGGGAGAGAGACAAAGAAACCAUGGCUUGAGCCAUGGCCCAUAGCUCAAGGGAGAGGGAGAAAGAAAGAAAAAAAGACUAUCUCACCACAGCAGUUCAGGAACAAAAAAAGAGAAAGAUACAAUGAAUCUGAGACCCCUUUAUAACAUCGGAGUUGUUGACCAAUAGCAUUACUGUAAAGUUAACCUCCAAUCAGAUAUGAGACAUACAGACCUGUAAAGAAAACAUAACCUCUGCUACCCAGAGGUGUUACAAUGGGGGCUGGUGAGAUCAACACUGAGGAAUCCUUGCACACAGUUGAUAAGAGCCACUUCGGGGGCUGGGCUGUGUGAUAUAUCUGCAGACCAAACCCCUUCCUUUAAUUCAUUGAUGUGAGAUGACGAUACACUAUACACAGGCACAUGCUAACACAUGCCGGCGAGCACACACACACAUGCACACAACACAAGCAGGAGCACACACACAGUCUUGUACAACUAUCUUUGUGGGGACACACAAUUCAGUCCCAUAUAAAAACCUAUUUUUCCUAACCCUUAACCCGUACCCUGAACCUAAACCGUACCCUAAACUUAACUCUAACCGGAAAACAUUAACCCUAACCCUAAACCUAACCCUAGCUCCUUAACCUAACCCUAAAACUAACCCUAGCUCCUAACCCUAAUUCUAACCCAACCCUAAUUCUAACCCUAACACCAAUUCUAACCCUAACACUAAUUCUAACCCUAACACUAAUUCUAACCCUAACGCCAAUUCUAUCCCGAACACUAAUUCUAACCCUAACACUAAUUCUAACUCAACCCUAAUUCUAACCCUAACCCUAAUUCUAACCCAACCCUAAUUCUAACCCUAACACCAAUUCUAACCCUAACACUAAUUCUAACCCUAAACCCACUAGAAAUAGUAUUUGAUCUUGUCCCCAGUUGGUCACAUUUGUGAUUGUUUAUUAUUCUAUAGUUACACACAAUCACACACACUAUACUGUACACACAUUGAAAUAACAUUGAACUAUUUGCAUGGACUCUCUCCACACACACACACACACACACACACACACACACACACACACACACACACACACACACACACACACACACACACACACACAGACACAGACACAGACACAGACACAGACACAGACACAGACACACACCACACACACAAACCACACAUCACACACACACACCACUCACACACACACCACACAAUCAUCAUUGCUCUUACUAUGUAUUUUAAGCUGUUCAACCAAGUCACACACACACACACACGAUAACAUACGCACUAUACAUACACAUGGAUUUAGUACUGUAGAUAAAUGGUAGUGGUGGAGUAGGGGCCUGAGGGAACACAGUGUGUUGUGAAAUCUGUGAUGUAUUGUAAUGUUUUAACAUUGUAUAAACUGCCUUAGUUUUGCUGGACCCCAGGAAGAGUAGGUGCUGCUUUGGCAGCUAAUGGGGAUCCAUAAUAAAUACAAAUACAAAUACUAUCAAGUCACCAACUUGAUAGUGUCACUAACCAAGCCACGACCGCCACCAGCCUCUGGAAUGCCCUCCCAGACCACCUGAAGGCACCACAGACUCUGGGCUCCUUUUCAACGGGCCUAACGACUUUUCAAUUUAGGAAGGCUUUCUGUUGAUAUCUGUGCUCCUUGGUGUCCUCGUCCCUUGUAGCGUCAGCUGGGCUCUUUGCGUCAGUUGCCGUGUGCGUCAGUUGCCGUGUCUAGUUGCGUCCAUUUAUUUUCAAUUGGGUUUUUAUUUUUUAUUUUAUGCACUUUGAGAUUAUUCGGUAUAAUAAAAAGCGCUUUACAAAUGUAACACAUGUUUUUUUAUUACUAUCCACUUUAGCAUUUUUGUAGUAUUUACUGUAUAUUCGUAUUGUGUAUACAUUUCCAACAUACAUAUUUGUUCCUACUUUCUAUUACAGUUUUAAAAAGUUUAUUACACUGUUUAGGAGAGCUUGCAAGUAAGCAUUUCACUGUACUGUUUACAUUUACAUUUUUUACAUUUUAGUCAUUUAGCAGACGCUCUUAUCCAGAGCGACUUACAGUAGAGUGCAUACAUUUUAUUACAUUUUUGUAUCCUGUGCAUGUGACGAACAAACUUUGAUUUCCUAAUAAAAUGAUGCAUAUGGCUAAAAUGACAGUAA